AACAGGUGGCUUGGGCCCUCCAUUUGCCUACAGGGCGGGAGGGGGUUGGGGAAGUGGGUAGGGGAUGAGGAGACUAUGUAUGACAGAUACCAACAGACUACCCCAUGUCAUUUGGAGUGUGUGCAUGUAUAGUUUAUGUUUAGGCCAUGAGGAGCCCUGCACACACUCAAUAUACUUGGUGAGAAAGCCAGUUGAGGGAUAAGGGCCAGUGGGAAGUGUAAAGGAAACACAUUGGGCUGCCCAUCUCACUGAGCGGUUCAGAGAAAUGGUCUAAGGUUUAGUCAGCCAAAACUUCUCAGCCAUUUUUAUUUGAGUAAAUUGAAACAGGCACAUGGACCCACACAGAGACAUAUGAGAACAAGAAGAGACAGAGAGGGAGAAAAGAAAGAUAGGUUAGAAGAUUUCUGUCCCAGGAUGAGUUGUCCUAGAUGCCUUCUGAGGUUCUUCUUCCAACUAUAAGAGUAUAUGAUGAGAGAGAGAGAGACAGAGAGAGAGAGAGACAGAGGCAAAGAGAGACACAGAGAGACAGAGACACAGAGACAGACACAGAGACAGACAGAGACAGACAGAGAGAAAGGCAGAGAGAGAGCUCAGGCAUGGGGUGAGGGGGAGAGAGAGGGAGUAAGAGAAAGGGUAAAGAGGGAGGAGAGGGAGAGAAAAGAGGGGAAGGGAGGAGAGGAAGAGAGAUAGAGAGAACUGUAAAAUGUUUCUCCUAAGUGGCCAUUGGUAAAACUGAAGUGUGUAGAAGGUAUAAAGGUUCAAUAUGGAUACAACUAAACUCAUGACUUUACUGCAAAGCGGGAAAGUAAGCAGUUUCCAAAGACACAGAGAAGCAGGCGUAAAAAUAAUUGCAGGCCCAUCUGGAUGUGGUUUGCAUUCGACUGUAAGCACCCAGGCUCGAAGGAAGAACAGACUUUACAUAAUAUCACUUUGAACAGGACCUAGCACUGCAGCUACUGAAAGAAAGAUGUUUUACCAAUGUUUUUGAUGGUGUCAAGGAUACAAGCCUGGUUGAUAAGCCAAGAAAGCCUUUAUUUAACACAAAAUGAUGAAUAUUAAAAAAGGUACUCUCACUCACCUCCUUGCUUAUUUUGUGUAAUAAACGACAAGCCAGCAUCCC
Molecule: long non-coding RNA, 1120 nt
Organism: Monodelphis domestica (gray short-tailed opossum)
Lineage: Eukaryota; Metazoa; Chordata; Mammalia; Didelphimorphia; Didelphidae
Source: RefSeq, a predicted model, not a curated record